CAAACUUGAUGGUGUUUAUGACGUCGAUAUUCGACGUCAUAAACAGCAAACUUGAUGGUUUUUAUGACGUCGAAUAUCGACGUCAUAAACAGCAAAC
Molecule: microRNA precursor, 97 nt
Filed under: Paramuricea clavata
Lineage: Eukaryota; Metazoa; Cnidaria; Anthozoa; Malacalcyonacea; Plexauridae
Source: RNAcentral